RNAcentral lists this transfer RNA (71 nucleotides) under Minisyncoccota bacterium. RNAcentral's name for it is "tRNA-Ile". It matches the Rfam family "tRNA". From Rfam's summary of the family: Transfer RNA (tRNA) molecules are approximately 80 nucleotides in length. Their secondary structure includes four short double-helical elements and three loops (D, anti-codon, and T loops). Further hydrogen bonds mediate the characteristic L-shaped molecular structure. tRNAs have two regions of fundamental functional importance: the anti-codon, which is responsible for specific mRNA codon recognition, and the 3' end, to which the tRNAs corresponding amino acid is attached (by aminoacyl-tRNA synthetases). tRNAs cope with the degeneracy of the genetic code in two manners: having more than one tRNA (with a specific anti-codon) for a particular amino acid; and 'wobble' base-pairing, i.e. permitting non-standard base-pairing at the 3rd anti-codon position. Lineage: Bacteria; Bacillati; Minisyncoccota. The record is from RNAcentral.
AGCGUGUAGUUCAGUGGUAGAACGCUGUCCUGAUAAGACAGAGGUCGAUGGUUCGAUCCCAUCCACCGUUG